CGCAUUCUGGUGCGUUUGUGAUGGAGAUAGGACAUUUGAGGCAAUUAGAGAUUAGAGGGGCUUUCAAUUCGGGUGCGGUGAGCAAGCCAUGCGUUUCGCAAGGAAGCCUGAAGUGUCCGAUGAUUUCCCCACCUAUACAGACUGGGUUCUCAUGUUGCCCUGCCACACGGCGUUUCGGGGCGGCU
RNAcentral lists this non-coding RNA (185 nucleotides) under Bacillota bacterium. RNAcentral's name for it is "6S RNA". It matches the Rfam family "6S / SsrS RNA". From Rfam's summary of the family: E. coli 6S RNA was the first non coding RNA to be sequenced, but its function was unknown until recently. It consists of 184 nucleotides that fold into an extended hairpin structure with a large single-stranded internal bulge. RNAcentral also lists the same sequence under 1 other name. The record is from RNAcentral. Lineage: Bacteria; Bacillati; Bacillota.